This is a non-coding RNA of Brassica napus (rape), 125 nucleotides long. The record is from Rfam. NCBI's taxonomy places the organism in Eukaryota, Viridiplantae, Streptophyta, Magnoliopsida, Brassicales, Brassicaceae.
GGAAUAUAAAAAACUGUCUUUUAAUUUUUAAAUAAAAAAAGUAAGAACUGGUUUUUAAAUAUCUUGUUUAAGAGCCGGUUCUUAACUUUUUUAGUUAAAAGUUAAGAGACGGUUUCUUAUAUUCC